Molecule: ribosomal RNA, 460 nt
Filed under: uncultured bacterium
Lineage: Bacteria
Description: partial 16S ribosomal RNA
Rfam family: Bacterial small subunit ribosomal RNA
Source: RNAcentral
CCUACGGGAGGCAGCAGUGAGGAAUAUUGGUCAAUGGGCGCGAGCCUGAACCAACCAAGUCGCGUGAGGGAUGAAGGUUCUAUGGAUCGUAAACCUCUUUUAUAAGGGAAUAAAGUGUGGGACGUGUCCUAUUUUGUAUGUACCUUAUGAAUAAGGAUCGGCUAACUCCGUGCCAGCAGCCGCGGUAAUACGGAGGAUCCGAGCGUUAUCCGGAUUUAUUGGGUUUAAAGGGUGCGUAGGCGGCCUUUUAAGGAAGCGGUGAAAGUAUGUGGAUCAACCAAAGAAUUGCCGUUGAUACUGGGGGGCGUGAGAAUGUUUGAGGCAGGCGGAAGGCGUGGUGUAGCGGUGAAAUGCUUAGAUAUCACGCAGAACCCCGAUUGCGAAGGCAGCCUGCCAGGCCAUGACUGACGCUGAGGCACGAAAGCGUGGGGAUCAAACAGGAUUAGAUACCCUUGUAGUG